Molecule: small RNA, 128 nt
Filed under: bovine gut metagenome
Description: HNH endonuclease-associated RNA and ORF (HEARO) RNA
Rfam family: HNH endonuclease-associated RNA and ORF (HEARO) RNA
Source: RNAcentral
UGAACUACCCACCGCCUAAAGGCAGUGGGCUUCCGUUAAAUGGUUCACCAGACUUAAGACAGAAGAAAUUCUGCCUACGAUAUUUAGGUCAUGACACCUUUGGUUGACGCACCAGACCAUUGCUCUGU